This 362-nucleotide small RNA is filed under the name Listeria monocytogenes 10403S. RNAcentral describes it as "Listeria sRNA rliB". It matches the Rfam family "Listeria sRNA rliB". The record is from Rfam by way of RNAcentral. Lineage: Bacteria; Bacillati; Bacillota; Bacilli; Caryophanales; Listeriaceae.
AAGAGGAGAUUUUAGAUGUUUUUUGGUAGGUCGACAGAAAUAGCUCUUUGAGGUAAGAUGGGAGUAAGAAGAAAAGUUAGUGGGUUUUAGUUACUUAUUGUGAAAUGUAAAUUGCUCUCUUUUGUGUAAAGCACAUCAAGCAUGUAGCGUUUUAGUUACUUAUUGUGAAAUGUAAAUGCGAUUUUUGUCAAAGGGACAGCGAUGGGUUACAAGUUUUAGUUACUUAUUGUGAAAUGUAAAUUUACCACCAAAGUCCCUACACUCAAUACCACCAAAGCGUUUUAGUUACUUAUUGUGAAAUGUAAAUCGCUCUGACCUGUUCCUUGUGCAACACUCGUUACAGUUUUAGUUACUUAUUGUGA